GGUAGGGUCCACCAGCUGUCCACCAGGCUGUCGUUCACUCAUUUCCUAUGCCACCGAUGGGACACGCGUCGCUAGUAGAAGCCGGAGGCACGCGCGCGUUCUAGCCUCCGGAGGAAACCAAUCAUUUUCCCUUCUCAACCCGCGUUUUUCCCUUUAGCCUCCAAAGGUGGCCCUGCAGCUGCCAUCCGUGUCUCCCCUGCAGGAGGCCCCAAGUCAGAAGAAGAGAAACCACACCCAAGUCAGAAGCUCCUUGGCUAGCCUACCCAAGCCAAACCCGAGCCUUUCCCUUAGCCGUUGAAGAUUGCCCUGGAGGAGACACCAUUCAGAAGAAGAAGACGAUGAUGAUGCCAGACCCAUAGGCUACGAUGGACAUCUCGAUGUUGAUGAGAAUGCACUUAAGUCGGAUGAAGCCAUGUGGGCCUUCUAUGAGUACUGGUGCAAGUAUCAUGGCAUAUCGCGUGACCGUCGCGAGAUGGAACGCCGGUUCAAGAGAUUCAGUAAUAUUGCAAGGAUUGUGCACAAGUUCAACAGCACUAGUGAUUGGAGUGCCGAGGCGUCAAUGACCAUAUUUUCAGACAUGACCAAGGAGGAGGUAUCGCGUAGAAUUGGUGGACUUAGAAGUAGGCGUCCCUUAAGCCCUUAGUUAUGCUUCCGUAUGCCAAGACAUGCCUUAUCUAGCAGUACUGUGCGUUUCUUUGUUGUUAAACUCAUUCUAGCUUUACUAAAAGCUAUGUUUGUAUCUGUAUGUAUAUUGGACAAAUAUAUUUCGCUUUGUUGUAUGAACUGAGUGAGCUUUAAGAAAUACGUAGUAUACCUCUGUUGUUGUUUUC
This is a long non-coding RNA of Lolium perenne, 830 nucleotides long. RefSeq lists it as uncharacterized. Lineage: Eukaryota; Viridiplantae; Streptophyta; Magnoliopsida; Poales; Poaceae. The record is from RefSeq and is a predicted model, not a curated record.